Molecule: ribosomal RNA, 379 nt
Filed under: uncultured eukaryote
Lineage: Eukaryota
Description: partial 18S ribosomal RNA
Rfam family: Eukaryotic small subunit ribosomal RNA
Source: RNAcentral
CAAUAGCGUAUAUUAAAGUUGUUGCGGUUAAAAAGCUCGUAGUUGGAUUUCUGCUGAGAACGACCGGUCCGCCCUUUGGGUGUGUAUCUGGCUCUUUCUUGGCAUCUUCUUGGUGAACGUUGCUGCACUUGACUGUGUGGAGCGCUACCCAGGACUUUUACUUUGAGGAAAUUAGAGUGUUUCAAGCAGGCAUACGCCUUGAAUACAUUAGCAUGGAAUAAUAAGAUAGGACCUCGGUUCUAUUUUGUUGGUUUCUAGAGCUGAGGUAAUGAUUAAUAGGGAUAGUUGGGGGCAUUCGUAUUUAACUGUCAGAGGUGAAAUUCUUGGAUUUGUUACAGACGGACUACUGCGAAAGCAUUUGCCAAGGAUGUUUUCAUUG